Molecule: non-coding RNA, 71 nt
Organism: Podarcis lilfordi (Lilford's wall lizard)
Lineage: Eukaryota; Metazoa; Chordata; Lepidosauria; Squamata; Lacertidae
Source: the annotation of a GenBank genome assembly
GAACAUAGCUCAGUUGGGAGAGCAAGAGGCUCGUAAUCUCAGUGUAGUGGGUUUGAGUCCUGUGUUCAGCA